Molecule: transfer RNA, 66 nt
Filed under: Sphaerodactylus townsendi
Lineage: Eukaryota; Metazoa; Chordata; Lepidosauria; Squamata; Sphaerodactylidae
Description: tRNA-Val
Source: RNAcentral
GGGGCUCAGUGGGAAAGCCUGUGCUUUACAUGCAGAACAUCCCAAGUUCAAUCCCUGGCAUCUCCA